AUUGAACGCUGGCGGCAUGCCUUACACAUGCAAGUCGAACGGCAGCACGGGAGCAAUCCUGGUGGCGAGUGGCGAACGGGUGAGUAAUGCAUCGGAACGUGCCAUUGAGUGGGGGAUAACGUAGCGAAAGUUACGCUAAUACCGCAUAUUCUGUGCGCAGGAAAGCAGGGGAUCGCAAGACCUUGCGCUCUUUGAGCGGCCGAUGUCAGAUUAGCUAGUUGGUGGGGUAAAGGCUCACCAAGGCGACGAUCUGUAGCGGGUCUGAGAGGAUGAUCAGCCACACUGGAACUGAGACACGGUCCAGACUCCUACGGGAGGCAGCAGUAGGGAAUAUUGGACAAUGGGGGCAACCCUGAUCCAGCCAUGCCGCGUGAGUGAAGAAGGCCCUCGGGUUGUAAAGCUCUUUUGUCCGGAAAGAAAGCAAUCGGUUAAUACCCGGUUGUUCUGACGGUACCGGAAGAAUAAGCACCGGCUAACUUCGUG
Molecule: ribosomal RNA, 483 nt
Filed under: uncultured bacterium
Lineage: Bacteria
Description: bacterial SSU rRNA
Rfam family: Bacterial small subunit ribosomal RNA
Source: RNAcentral